UACGGGGGGAGCAAGCGUUGUUCGGAUUUACUGGGCGUAAAGGGCGCGUAGGCGGCUUGUCAAGUCAGGGGUGAAAUCCGGCAGCUUAACUGUCGAAGUGCCCUUGAUACUGAUGAGCUCGAGGGAGGUAGGGGUAUGCGGAACUUCCGGUGGAGCGGUGAAAUGCGUUGAUAUCGGAAGGAACGCCGGUGGCGAAAGCGGCGUACUGGACCUCUUCUGACGCUGAGGCGCGAAAGCUAGGGGAGCAAACGGG
Molecule: ribosomal RNA, 253 nt
Filed under: uncultured bacterium
Lineage: Bacteria
Description: partial 16S ribosomal RNA
Rfam family: Bacterial small subunit ribosomal RNA
Source: RNAcentral